CUUGUGCUGCAGUGUGGUGGGAAGGGUGGUUGGUUGUGUGAUGUGCUCCUGAUGAGCAGCUUGGUCCAACAUCCCAAAGCUUGGCUGUGAAACCAGAUGCCAACCUCGUGCUCUGGGCCCUUUCUGGCCAGAAGUGCUGGAAGGAAGCAGCCUGCAAGCACUGCGCUCCCCCCUCAUCAGGAGAGAGGAAUUUUGGCCUGGAAUGCCACGAAUGCUGAUGCACCCAAAAGUUGAGCUGCUUCCAGAAGAUGCUCUUCAGUACAUGGGGAGAUGCUGCAGUGGUGGCUCAUAGUCAGCUCUCCAGUUGUGUGGUUUUGGCCUCUGCAUGGCCUGGUGUUAGAUCACUGUCUCCCUUGUUGGUACUGGAAAGCCUGUAGCUUUAGAUUCCUAAGGGCAACCAUGACAGCCUGAUGUUUUAGUGCUGAGGAAUCAACUAGUGAUAGGAAAAAUAGUAAUUUUUCAGAAAGGAACAGGAGGAAAACAAGCCAGAAGGGGCAAAAUGCACCAGUUAGCCCUCUUGCCCCCAUAUCUUACUAAAGACUGAGGAAUAAGAGCAGAUUCUGGGGGGUUACCUGGAGCAGUGUGCUAAAGCUGCCUUGGGAUGAGGUAGAGAGAACGUCCAAGUCAACCUUCAGGGAUGAGUUUCAGAGUCAUAGAUGGAGUAGUUUAAUGUGAACUUCGGGCACUUUUGGUCUCAAAGCUGACUCGGUUUCUCAACUUUGUUAUCCGGCCUCUAAAAAUGUAAGGAUGAGGCAGAAGAGAGCCAGGAGAAGGCAGUUCUGUCCGGUUUGCAGAAAGAGAAACCAGAAAUGCCUCCGUGCUGCCGCGUUCCUUGUCACAGUGAUGGAUUGGGGACGUCGCAUGAAAUCAAAUAGAAAACAAAUAAACUGCAUGUGACUCAGGGAGGGGGUAGGUUUGGUUUGCAGGAUCUGCAUCCACAUUUUCUUUGGCUUCGAUCCAGGUGGCUCAGCACCCCUUGGAGCCACUUAAAUAAACCCGACUCUGAAAGCAAAAGCUCUGCCAGAGCUCCCAGUCUCACUCACCCUCACGUUCACACCAGAGGAAGGGGAAAUGGCUCCCGAGGUGGCCACAAGGGCCAAAGAUCUUCUCAGAAGGUCUGUGUUCCUUGCAUGCAUGAAAGGAAAGCCUCACAGCCGUCUUCAUGGGGGUUGUAAGCUGUGCCAUGAGGGUUCUGUGCAAUACAGUGCCUGGGUUU
This is a long non-coding RNA of Gallus gallus (chicken), 1216 nucleotides long. Lineage: Eukaryota; Metazoa; Chordata; Aves; Galliformes; Phasianidae. The record is from Ensembl.